This is a non-coding RNA of Meleagris gallopavo (turkey), 827 nucleotides long. Lineage: Eukaryota; Metazoa; Chordata; Aves; Galliformes; Phasianidae. The record is from RefSeq and is a predicted model, not a curated record.
CUGACUGCCAGUGGCAAAGGAUCUCUUUCUGGAGAUCCCUCCUUUGGAGUUUUACAGCAAGCCUGGGAUGCGGCUCGCUAUUUGGUCCAGAAGAUGUGGAGCAAGUACCAAAUUAUGAAAGGAGUUGAAUGGCCAAGUGCAGCUUCUCUUAUUAUGGUGAAGAUUAAAGAAAAACUAAAUAUGAGGAUAAAAAACUUGACUUCUGAGCAACAGUUAAAGCCAAUUCAUCUCUUAGGAGUCAAAAACAAAUUCAUCCCCAGUUUGUGAAUCUGUGACGCUCUGGAAUAUUAAAAAUAGUGGCAGAACAUAUCGGCGAGAUUCUGUGAUUUCCUGGAUCAGUGUUACUGGACCAAACCCAUUUUCAGAAGAGAUUUUCCUUUUAGAGAUGGCAAUCUAUGUGUAACAGGACUUCAAAUGGCUUUCAUUAUCAGCUAUCUGAGAAUGAAGGUAGUAAAAAGGGACACUGCGUCUCAUGGGUAUAACAAGUUAUAUUGAUCAGCUGGCAAUUCUUGGAAUGGGUUACAUGUGUUUUAAAUGUCUUUUGGAAAUCAGAGAUGAUAGUGCCAUUCAAAGUGGUUUUCUAACAAGUAAUCUUUAUGUUGCUUUGUUGGUUUGUCUGUUUGUAACUGAUAAAUUAAAGGCUAAUAGAGGAAAAAGGCAAAGAAAAAGAGAUGUGAAGAUAACUGACCAUGUGGAAAACUCAUUAAAUGAUGAUGCUUGAGCUUUUAUUAAUUUCUGUUUGUAGACAAUUUGAAGACUAAAAUACUCUUGGAAGAAUUAGUUCUGCAAAAAGUUUGUUCUUUUAAUUCUCAUUUCUAUGACCUUCU